AUUGAACGCUGGCGGCAUGCCUUACACAUGCAAGUCGAACGGUAACGGGCCUUCGGGUGCCGACGAGUGGCGAACGGGCGAGUAAUGUAUCGGAACGUACCUUUCAGUGGGGGAUAACGUAGCGAAAGUUACGCUAAUACCGCAUAUUCUGUGAGCAGGAAAGCAGGGGAUCGCAAGACCUUGCGCUGAUUGAGCGGCCGAUAUCAGAUUAGCUAGUUGGUGAGGUAAAGGCUCACCAAGGCGACGAUCUGUAGCGGGUCUGAGAGGAUGAACCGCGACACUGGAACUGAGACACGGUCCAGACUACUACGGGAGGAAGCAGUGGGGAAUUUUGGGCAAUGGGGGCAACCCUGAUCCAGCCAUGCCGCGUGAGUGAAGAAGGCCUUCGGGUUGUAAAGCUCUUUCGGCCGGGAAGAAAUCGUAUCAGCUAAUACCUGGUGCGGAUGACGGUACCGGCAUAAGAAGCACCGGCUAACUACGUGCCAGCAGCCGCGGUAA
This 498-nucleotide ribosomal RNA is filed under the name uncultured bacterium. RNAcentral describes it as "partial 16S ribosomal RNA". It matches the Rfam family "Bacterial small subunit ribosomal RNA", at positions 30 to 523 of the family's 1533-position model. The record is from RNAcentral.